Molecule: long non-coding RNA, 491 nt
Filed under: Parus major (Great Tit)
Lineage: Eukaryota; Metazoa; Chordata; Aves; Passeriformes; Paridae
Description: lncRNA (ENSPMJG00000003009.1)
Source: RNAcentral
CGUGGAGUUCUCAAUCAGGUUUAAUUCACCAGGACAUCAAGGCAGACAUGGAUUCUCUCCCUUCUCCACCCUUUAAUGUGCGAUUAUCAGGAUAAAGAAUGGCCAGCACCUGAAUUUCUGAAUGAUGUGAGAAGCAGGACCUGAUCCUACCUCUUCCUGCCACAAUGGGAAGCUCAUUUCUGAAGGAUCUGGAAGAAAUUACAGGAGUGACAGUUGUGAGAGGGACGUACUCCAGAUUGGCGGGGCUGGUUUGUGCUUUGUUACCACAUUGCCUCCUCCUAGCAGAAUGGAUGUGCUGGUGGCAUUCCCGGAUUUCUCGAGCUCUCAUGCUAACUCUGAGUCAGCUUUGACCUGGCUGGGUGCCCACCUGCAUAAUUCCAGAUGUGACCAUGGAGAGUGCACAGGGCAAACAACCCUAGGGAAGAAGGUCUUGCUGGCUUGAUGUCUAAAAACAAAAUAAAAAUCAAGUAAAAUUCCUCGAGUCUAAGUCU